Molecule: transfer RNA, 76 nt
Filed under: Bacteroidota bacterium
Lineage: Bacteria; Pseudomonadati; Bacteroidota
Description: tRNA-Lys
Rfam family: tRNA
About the family: Transfer RNA (tRNA) molecules are approximately 80 nucleotides in length. Their secondary structure includes four short double-helical elements and three loops (D, anti-codon, and T loops). Further hydrogen bonds mediate the characteristic L-shaped molecular structure. tRNAs have two regions of fundamental functional importance: the anti-codon, which is responsible for specific mRNA codon recognition, and the 3' end, to which the tRNAs corresponding amino acid is attached (by aminoacyl-tRNA synthetases). tRNAs cope with the degeneracy of the genetic code in two manners: having more than one tRNA (with a specific anti-codon) for a particular amino acid; and 'wobble' base-pairing, i.e. permitting non-standard base-pairing at the 3rd anti-codon position.
Source: RNAcentral
GGUUUUGUAGCUCAACCGACAGAGCACCUGGCUUUUAACCAGGGGGUUCCAGGUUUGAAUCCUGGCAGGACCACCA